AGAUGUGGGGGUGAUCUGGCUAUGACAUCUGUCGCUCCUCUAAUGGGGGGGGCUGAUUUGGCUGAUCUGGCUGGCUAGGCAGGUGUCUUUUUCCUCCCUCAACGCUCCACGUGUGUCCCUCCUGAAGCUGCGCCCUCAGUCAAAGACGAUGACCAUCCCCCAGUAGAGGAGGACUGUUUCCUCAGUCAAGGGUAGACAAAUCACUGUGAUCCCCUGCUAUAGUUAAGGAAACCGGGUGACCUUGUAGUCAUACGAGUCCACAGAGGUGACGAGUGGUGGAGCUUUGCCAGGAGAAGCAAUGUCUGCACCUUCCU
This 314-nucleotide small nuclear RNA is filed under the name Chinchilla lanigera (long-tailed chinchilla). RNAcentral describes it as "7SK RNA (ENSCLAG00000021767.1)". The stretch from base 1 to 267 matches the Rfam family "7SK RNA". Rfam says of the family: 7SK was discovered as an abundant small nuclear RNA in the mid-70s but a possible function has only recently been suggested. Two independent studies have found that 7SK RNA binds the CDK9/cyclin T complex (known as elongation factor P-TEFb). Lineage: Eukaryota; Metazoa; Chordata; Mammalia; Rodentia; Chinchillidae. The record is from RNAcentral.